Molecule: long non-coding RNA, 1548 nt
Organism: Sapajus apella (tufted capuchin)
Lineage: Eukaryota; Metazoa; Chordata; Mammalia; Primates; Cebidae
Exons: 2
Source: RefSeq, a predicted model, not a curated record
UCUUGAUGUGUUGUGCAGGCUGGUCUCGAACUCAAGGGAUUCUCUUGCUUUAGUCUCCCGAAAGUGCUAGAAUUACCGGCGUGAGCAACUCCACCAGGCCAUAAACCUCUUUAAAUGGCUACCAAACGUAACUGCCGUCUUCUCUCAAUGCCACUGUUCCCUUUAACACAUUUUCCUUUUUUGAUUUAACAUGUCAUGUGUGUUUCCUUUAGAAAAAAUGCACAGAAGAAGCUAAAAGAAAAUAAAAGAAAAUUGAUUCCAUUACUCAGAGAUCAUCACUGCCAACAUCUUGGUCUCAGUAGCUCACAUGGAUUGGUCAGCAUUGUUCCAGAAUCAAGCUCUGCAUAAUCAAACCAGGACCGCCUGUUGUCCCAGGAGCUUCCUAACUCCUCUGAUUGGCGCAUCUACCUUGAUCGGCACUCAGAUAAGCCACACCAUGGACCAGCUGGUGAUGGGGAAAAUGUCAGCUUUGCUUUUAGGGAUUUGUUAUUGUGGGAACCCACUGUUUAUCAGCAGCUCUAGUUGAUCCACCUGCUUUGUGGUGCCAACAUAGGAACUUGUCUGGAGGGUCAGAGAAGAAGCAAUUGGCCCUCAAAGCACAUUGACACCUUUGAGGAAGGCGGAGGCCAAGUCAGCAGGCAGCAGCUUGCAGGGAAAUUAAGCAGAAUUCUGAACUUUUGGAAAGAAGUAAAUUUCUGGCACUUGGCAUGGUUUCAGAAUGAAUUCUGGAGGUUGGUGUAGUUCCCUGGAUCCAGGGGGCUUGGGGAAUUCCAUAUGAGUCAUUUGGGCUGACCUCAUAAGUGCCCCAGGGUAAGGGGCAAUCCUCUGUCUCCCCAGGCACUUCUGUUCAAGCAUUCUGCCCAGGAGUUGGCACAGCCACCCACGCCCGGCCACCUCAAGAGAUAGAUGGAAUACCAGCAGCCCACGGAUGUCCCUUGUCAGCAAAAAGCACCCUGGAAAUGGGUGGCUGGAUAAAAGGUCCUCUGUCUGUUGUUGGCUGGGACAGCGUCUACCACAGCCUACACUUGUAUUAUGGGAAUAUUUCUCUAUAGCUUAAUGCUCCAGAGAGAAGUGCACAUUUUCUGCUAAAUGUGUGGCUUCAUGGGCUUGUCGUUGAUGGCUUUCCUAGGAGAGGCCUUCAUGCUUCUACUUGGAGUCUGACCCCUACCCUUCCACCCUCAGCCUAGCUAGGCCUGAGCAGGUGCAUAAAGUGAUCUGACCUAGUGAAUGGGAAGGUGUACACCGAUAGAAUCUGUACAUUUUGCCUAUACCGCAUUCAAGAGAAUACAGUCGUGCAUCAUGACAUUUCAUCAAUGACGGACCACUGACUCAUUACCAGUGAUCCGGUAAGACGGUAACAGAUCUAUACAGUGGCAUGCGCUGUACCAUCUAAGUUUGUGUAAGUACACUCUAUGAUGUUUGCACAACAAUGAAACCAGCUAAUGACAUAUUUUUCAGAGCGCAUCCCUGGUGUGAGUGUAUAUUAAGGCCAAUUUCAUCUGUUUCUUCUUAUCUUUUAAUGUGGCCACUUAAAGGUUUAAAACUACA